RNAcentral lists this non-coding RNA (195 nucleotides) under Lachnobacterium bovis. The record is from RNAcentral. Lineage: Bacteria; Bacillati; Bacillota; Clostridia; Lachnospirales; Lachnospiraceae.
AUCUGAGUUCUAAGAUAAUCUGAAGGAAGCUGGAUGUGGGAAAUACACUAACUAACGGCAAAAUCUCUGAUCUAACUAACAGAAAUCUCAUAUGAGAUUAUACAUGAGGGUAAGGCUGCACUACUAGUCAAAACCAAAUAACUACACGGAAUCAUACAUGAUAAAUGAGGCAUAUGUGAGAGGGCGGCAAUCAGU